Molecule: long non-coding RNA, 2409 nt
Filed under: Pan troglodytes (chimpanzee)
Lineage: Eukaryota; Metazoa; Chordata; Mammalia; Primates; Hominidae
Description: long non-coding RNA NONPTRT015984
Source: RNAcentral
AGAAAAUUAGAUGUACCUGUGUUUUAUGACCUUGAGAAUGAAUGAAUGUCUUCUAAAAUCAAAAUUGCAAACAGAAACUAUAUAAAAAGGAAUAAACCUAACGUACCUAAAACGUACAUUCUUACACAUUUCCACACCAAGUAAAUAGGACAAAACAAACUGGGGACAUUUUUACAACAAUUAUGUUAGAUGAAACUUAAAAUCCUUAUGACAUAUACAAUGUAUAAAACAGUAUUAUUACCACUAUUAUUACUACCAUUAUGAUUACCUGGUCUUCCCACGCACCAGUCCUCUUCCGGUGCCCUAUGGUGAAACAGAGCCCUCCGUCUCUGGCCACAGUGAGGGAUCCAUCAGGAACCCUGCCUAAGCCCUCAGAGGGUGUGAGCCAAACCAGGACAUCACAUUCCCUCCUGCAAUGACGCAGAUAUCCACUCACGACAGAGAUUUGGUACCUCUCUGGAAAAGCUGUGUAACAAUUAUUGCAGAAACUUGUUUCUUAUGUUCCCAGACACAUGGAGAAAGCUGGUCUGGAAGACUGAUGUCCACAUGCUAAGAGAAGCAGUCACUCAUAACACACACUGCACACACCACACCAUGUGCACACACACCCCACACACAGACACCACACAAACAGCACACACACCUCCAUGUGCACACACACCCCACACACAGACACCACACACUGCACACAGCCCACCACACUGCACAUGCCACACCGUGUACAUGCACACACCACACACACACCACACACAGUGUACACAAGCACACAUGCCCCACACAUACACCACACAGACACCACACACACUGCACACAGCACAACAUGCAUACACGCACACACACCCCCACACACCACACAUACUGCACACAUACCACGUACACACACACCCAACACAGACAUCACACACUGCACACACACCAUGUAUACAUGCACACAAACCCCCAAACAUCACACACACCACACACCAUGUGCACGUGCACACACCCCACCACAGACACAUACACUGCACACAGACCAGGUGCACACACGCACACCCCUGAUACGCCACACACACACCAUGUGCACACACACACCCCAGACACCACACACACUGCACACACACCAUGUGCACAUGCACACACAUCCCCACACCACAAUGCACAAUGUGCACACACGCAUACCCCCCACACACCGCACACACUACACCACACACAAGAAUCUACUACACACACAACAUACACAUACAGCACCACACACACCCCAUACUCCCCACACACAUCAAACACACGCCCCACACAUACUCCCCACACACUGCACACGUAUAUAUAGCACCACACAGAGCACACACAUCACAUACACACCACACAUACUGUGCACACACACACCACACAUUCUACACUCAUCACACAUCAAACACUACACACAGUACACACACAUCCAGCACCAUACACACACACAUCACAUAAACCACAAACUGCACACACAUAUAUCAUACGCACACCACACCACACGUAGUACACACCCACCACACACACAUACACCACAAACACAGCACAUAUACACACCAUGCACCACCCACAAACUACACACAGUAUACACACAUAACACCCACAAUACACACUACACACACAUAUACAUACCCCAUGAACCUACUACACACAAAGACCACAAACACACACCAUACAUACACAUCACACACAUACACCUGCGCACACCUCACAGCAUACAUACAAUCCUCACUUUUAGAAAUUAAUUUGGCUUUUAAGGAGCCUGGAUAGUAAAGUAUUUUAUUGGCAUUUGAAUGAACCAAAAAAAUGCAUAUAAAUACACAAGCGUAACUAUAAGGGCAAAAGUAGUACUUUCGAAAUCACAACAUUAGAUUAAACCAUGUAAAUUUUUUAUUGUUUUUAAAAAAUCGAGUCUUUCUCAUCUUACGAUAAAUUAUUUACCAGAGUAAAUAAGCUUCUUACUGAGGUCAAAAGACUUUCUGGAAAAACUUCUCCUUGAUGAAAUUGCACUUAAAACAUCACUUCCAUCAUGAAGUAUUUAAGAUGGUCUUGGUCCUUUUCCUGUUAUGUGGAAUCGUCAAUUCAAAUUUUAAAAGUGACGUUGAGAUGUUUUUCAUCUAUUAUUUUAAAAACGUUGAAGGCGUUUUUAAUUCUGCCUUCAACAGAGAUCGACAUACCUCUGAUUAUGAUGUAAAACUGAACACGUUACUCUGACAGGCUUUCUUUUCUGCAGCGCAGCUACCAUCAUUAUUAAUAAGGAUUGAAGGCUUUUACUCCAUGCACAAUCUGUAUUCCCUGCUUUAUAAAGAAUAGAAAUCUAAUUCUCACUAUGAAGGCAGAUAAAAGUAAUCCCUUCAACCUAUAGAUGAAUCAUUUACCAAAGCACUCAGACUUUAAAUAGCAUUUAUCAAAUGUGUCUAUAUU